RNAcentral lists this long non-coding RNA (26119 nucleotides) under Populus trichocarpa (black cottonwood). RNAcentral describes it as "long non-coding RNA (PTRI_LNC001025)". Lineage: Eukaryota; Viridiplantae; Streptophyta; Magnoliopsida; Malpighiales; Salicaceae. The record is from RNAcentral.
AAAGUUAAACUUGAUGCUGGAAUUGGUCGGAAUGGCAGAAAAUCUGGCAAUCGCCUGCAUGAUCUUAAAUGCACAUGCGUUAGCAAAAGAUAUGUACCUUCAUUAUAUUGUUCUUGUAUUUCCAUUGCAGCUUCUCUCUUCAGGGAAAUGUUGAGUGAGUGUGUAAAGUUUCCUCCUCACCUCCGAAGUCUCUCAGACGCUUAUCACCACUGUGUCUCCUAUCAUAUAUAGGGGUACUCUUCAUUUCUUUUUCUGCAUGUUAUGAGGAUCGGAUGCGCAACGUUCUAUUGUUGAAUUCUGUAAUGACAUUAAAUAUAUAAAUAUGAAAAGCUUGUGGUAAAUAUUCGUUUGGAAACACGCAGAAAAUGAACAUUAAAUAAAUAAAUAUGAAAAGCUUGUGGUAAAUAUUCAUUUGGAAACACGCAGAAAAUGAACGUCUUUGAGAGAAAUGUGACAUUCAUUUUUUUCGGCACUAAAAAUUCAUGCGUGUAUUAAAUCAAUCACCUGGUAAGGCCUUCAAGUUGUUUGUGGACCAUUCCCGUACAAGUUAAAAACUUAUGCGAGGUCAUUCCAGUAUUGUAUAUAUUUACUCUAAAGUUUUAGGGUUUUUCACAAACAAAAUAAUAUUUUAAUUUUUUGAAAAAAUAAAGUUAGAAUAAGAAAAAUAUAAUUAGAAUUUCCUAUUCGAGUGCUAUUUUUCAAAAACAAAAACUAAUAAGAUUUAAAGCCUUUUAUUGUACAUUCCAUUAUACACACAAACAUAAUUAUAUUAUGGAUCAGCAUAAUACAAUUUUUUUUAUCAUAUAUUUUUUUCUUUCAACUUUAUCCUUUCACGAUGAUUUUAUUUGAGAUUGAUCUUGAUAGUUUGUUUUAAUGGCCUCAAUGCAAGGUUAUCAUGGAGUAAAAAAAACAUCUUGCCAUUGAGUUAUCACUCGAUUUUGCAAAUAAAAAAUGCUUGGAUUUUUGUUUUCCAUAUGAUUGAAAUUGAGGGACUUACAAUUGAGAAUCAACAAAAAACUCCGGCCCUUUUCGUUCAUAGAGGGAAAGAAAAAAAUUCCAGGCGUGGGAAUCGAGUGGAGGAGAUAUAAAAAAAAGUAAAAGGAAAAGAAAGAGAAAAAUAUUUGGUUGUUGGACCCAUACUAAAGCUCUGUCUUUUCCACAUGCCAUCUUGGAAGGAUAUUAUCGCCACGACGAUUUCAACAUUAUUAAGAAAGGCUAUCAUCAGAGCUUGGAGAAAGUUGCACACGCCUCCCAAAUGAAACUUUCUUCCUGACACGUUGACGCGUGAAUUACAUGUGCUGAAUAAAAAUAAUAAUUUAGUCCUAGAUUCUUUGUGUAAUCUUCAAUUUAAUCUCAAAUUUCAUUCUACCCAAUCCCAAUAAAAGCUGGAAAAGCAAAACUUUUAAUUUUUUGUUGUUUCUCCUUUUAAAAUCACAACGUUUAUCUAUUGAUAGAUAAAUAAAAAAGGAUUUAGCUUAAAUUUAUGGUUAAGAGAGUGAUUGGAUAUUCAUUAAUAACUAAUAGCAUUAUAUCCAAAAUCAAAGAUAUUCUUAUAAUUUUUUUUUAUGAAUCAUAGAUUUUAUAACAAUAUAAUUAAUGGUUAGAAAUAAGCAUGAAUUAUUUAGAUGGAAAACCAAGAUUUUUUAAAAUAAAAUAAUAGAACACCAAGGAAUAACUAAUAGUAAAUCAUUAGUUAUUACUUAAGUAACAUCAAAUUAGUUAAGGAAUAACUAAUUAUACAGUCAUAUUGUAUCAACUAAGGGAUCGAAGUUAGAAAACGAAAACAAGGAAAACAAAAACAUGGAAAACCAAGAUUUUUUAAAAUAAAAUAAUAGAACACCAAGGAAUAACUAAUAGUAAAUCAUUAGUGUAUACUUAUAACUAAUUAUACAGUCAUAUCGUAUCAACUAAGGGUCUUUCUUGUACUUUUAUGGAUCGAAGUUAGAAAACGAAAACAAGGAAAACAAAAACAGGUAAAAACCUCUUGCAUCAAAAGGAGCAGAAGCCGCAACACGGAGAGGAGAGGCCCUGCAAGCACGCAUAACACGUGGCAGAAGGGAGAUGACUCGAAUUUAUGACGACAUAUGGAAGACCCACUACUCAAUUCCUGCCGGUAAAAAUGUUAACAUUCAUUCCUUUUCCUCUUCUUUUUUAUCCAUUUAUACUCGGUUGUGAUAGAAGUAGAGCACUUGCUUUAUUUGCCUUCAUCUGAGGAAAGGAUAAAAUUCAAAAUUAGGAAAAAAUUAGGUCACAGAUUUAGGAUCGAUCGAGUCAGCUUUCUUGCUUGCCUGCUUGCUAGCUGACGAGAGGAUGGGCCGUAAGAAAGUGGAGCUAAAACGAAUUGAAAACAAGAGCAGUCGCCAAGUUACUUUCUCAAAGAGGCGAAAUGGAUUGUUCAAGAAAGCUCGUGAACUCUCCGUUCUUUGUGACGUACAAGUCGCCAUCCUUGUCUUUUCAAGUUGCGACAAGCUUUAUGAAUUCUCUAGCGUUGGCAGGUACCCAACUCUUUUUAUUUUUUAGGUUAAAACCUCGUUCUCAGGUCCCUUGAUUACCAACAGAAGCAUUGUUUUUGUUCUUGCACAUAAAUCGCUUGUUGAUUUCUUUGGUUUGUCAAUUUUCUAGGGAUUUGGUGCUUAUCGUUGCUUAUACGCGAGCAGUCAUGGCUCGCACAUGUUGUGAUCUUUUGUUUCUUUGAAAGGAAAAGCCUUUAGUGUAUGUGUAUUAUUUGCUGCAUGCGUGUUCAUCCAUCCAUACAAAAUAUAAAGACACGAAACUUUCUGUUGAACAAUCGAACAAAACUUGUUGACAAUCCUAUACAUUUAAAUGCUUAACUUAGUCUUUUCGUUAGGAUUCUGUCAUCGAUUUCAAACUCAUCUCUGUAUUAAUAAUUUGUUUAAUUACAUGAUGUUUAUAUAUAAUUUUCUCUUAAUUACGACAAAUAAUUAACUACCAUGCAAUUGCUAAGCUAGAUAGUUAUAACAUGGAUAAACAAAUUUCGCGUAAUGAGGAUGAGCAUUUAAUUAACCUAUAUGUAAUGAUGACAUCUAACCUAUACACAGUUAGGGGAAAAAAAAACACUCACGCUCAUGUGCUAAUCUUCAAAGAUGUCAAUGGUCAAUCGGUUAUCAAUUCAGUUAUUAACCCUCUGUCAGCUAAAACAUUAAUUAUAAAAUAUAUAAUAUUAAAAAAGUCAAAUAGAAUUUGCACAUGGAAUAAUUAUAGUAUUUCAAUACUUAAUACGAAAACAGUUGAAAGAGGUAAAUAUUAUUCUUUCAGUUCAAAUAUGGUACGUCAUAAUGAAAACCAUAAUCAUAAUCAAAACUACGUCAAUUAUUAACUACAACUGAACCAACCAUAAUAUACGUGGCCAGUCAGUUCUCUUUUUAUUAAAUCUAGAAUAAUAUGUUUGGAACCCUAUAAUUAAAUUGAAUUAAGAGAUUUUAAUGAAAUAACAUGUUUGGAAUACUAUUAAAUAUUAAGAAUUGAAUUUUAAAUGGAAUUCAAUCUUUAAAAAUACAUACUACAAGUAAAUCAAAGAUCAACCCAUCUGAUUUACAAUUCCAAAGAGAAAAAAUUUAAUAUGAAAACUAACUUUCUUAAAAUACCUAUCUAGCUUUUUUUUUAAAAAAAAAGAUUUUUGAAGAACUAAAGUAAAUUAGGUAAUGAGAGUAAUAUAAAAAAUAAAAUGAAUUGAAUUUGAUCUUUUUCAAAUACGUGAAUUCAACUUAUUCAUCAAUUAAAUUCAAACCAAACAUUAUAUUAAUAUUUGAAUUCAAUUACAAUAGAGAGUUGAUUCAAACAACCUAGAAAUGUACUAUCUUUGUCCCAAAUAUAAACCCAGACUUAUUUUAUAAAACAAUUGGAUUUGUUUUAAAAUCUUAAUUAAAUUAUGAUACCAUUACUCAAAUAUACAUGGCAUAAGAAAAUCUUCUCACUUGUACUCUUAUGGGCAUGGAAGUUGUAAAACUUGGUUCACGUUACAGCAUUAUUUUGGUAUACGAGUUCAAUUUUCAUUCUAUAAAAAAUUUGACUAUCCACUUGGAUAAAAUCUUGAAAAAAUUUUCCAUAGAAAAUUUAUUCACGAGUUACUAUUUUAGGCCAGGAUAUAUGAGUUUGAUAUGGUUCUUAUGUCUAGAUUUACUGGUUGAGUUUGAUCAAUGAUUAAAAGUUUUCUUGAAAAAAUAAGUUUUUUAUAGAAUAAAAGACUCUUCGCUACUUAAAUUAGUAGAUAUAUGCAUAAGAAAAUUGAAAACAAAUAUAAGUGUAGAAAAAUGUUGAAUUUGAAACAUGUUUUGUUUACUUGGUGACGAAUGUAUUUAUAGAUCUUGGUCAUAUUAGAUUACCUCGUGAGUUGCAUAAAAAUUCAUUAGUGAAAAUACUGUGUUCAUUAUUGAAUAUAAACAUGUUAUUGGUGAAGUGAUUAGUAAAUAUUAAUGACAAUAAAUAUUGAUAAAAAAAAAGUGUUUGAUUGCAUUGAAUGUGGUGUAUAUUUGUAUUACCUAUCAUUGGCUAGAAAGAUAUUAGCAAUCCUAUGUAAAAACAUGUCCUUGAAGAAAAUGUUAUAGAAUAUAUCAACAAAUUGUAAAAAUUUUGUGCGUGUGUGGCGGUGUAUAAUAUCGAGUUUUGACCCUUCAUAACUUGAAAAACAGUACAUUAAAAUGUGUGUUAAUAGUUGAGAAUUAGUAAGAUGUGUGCUAAUAGCUGCCAGCCUAAACGGAGUGCCAAUUUUAUUUUAUUUUAAUGCGCAACAUCACACGUCAUCUUCAAUUACUGGAUCAAUUGGAUGAUAACCUUAAUUUCACUAACACUCUCGAAUACUAACAUAUAAAUUUCACUCCCAACUCUUGUUAAAAAGAAGACGGAUUAUUAGAAAAGAAAAUUUAAUUUCUAAAAGCUAUGUUAAAUCACACUUAUUUCAAUAUUUUCUAUUUAUACAUCAUUUGACUUAACACAUUAACACUUUACUUAAGUAUCAAAAUUUUAAAAAUACAACCUUGAAGGGUGUAGCUCAACUGGUCAGGUCUUAAAUUUGCUCUCUAGAGGUCAACGAUUCAAGUCUCACAAACCUCAGGACCACUGAAGGUUUAUAUUAUCGUUAACUUUAGGGCCCGUGAGAUUAGUCGAAGUGCCCGCAAGCUGGUCUGGACACCCACGUUAAUAAAAAAAAUUAAAAAUACUUAAAAAUAAAAUAAGAAAAACUGAUUUUACUAGAUUUAGAAAAGAACCAAUGCACAUCAAAAUUUAUCAAAUUAUUGAACUAGAUCCUCUAUUUUUCUUCAUAAGGUCUUCUUAUUUUUUUUUUUAUUGUUUAACAUUAACUUCAAGCCAUUUAAAAAUUCACAAAAUUUAUGUUAUUACUUUUGAUAGACUCAACCAAUAUUAUAAACUCUACCAAUGUUAUAAAAAUAUUAACUUAAUAAAAAUAAAUCUUUAAAGUUCUUAUCCAUCUAUGUAUUGUUAAUUUUGCUCCACGUCACAUAUAAUUGAAAAGAGUUCUUCAAAUAAAAAGAUUUGUAUAUAGUAUAACAUUAAUGCUAUUAUAAUUGCAUUAAAGGAUAUGUAAGAGCCAUCAAUUUCAUAUUAAAUAAAUAAAAUUUAAAAAAAUAAUAUAUAAAGUUAAGAAUGUAUUAUAAACCAUAAAACUUAAAGUCUAGGUCUUUUGAAUCAAAUUCAAAUUCAAAUUCAAUUAUCAAAUAUAAUAGUUAAUAAGAUUUGAGUAAAAUUAAUUUCUUCACAUCUUAACACCUUAUAUCUUCAUGCAAUAUAAACAGAUUUUAUUAAAAAAUUAUCUCUUUUAGAAAAAAAAAUGGAGAAAUAUAUUUAUCAUGAUAAUUAUUGAGUUAGAAAAAUACAUUGUAGUUUUAUUAUGUUAAAACUUAAAUGUUAGUGUCUAUCAUCUAAUAACUUAUCAAACUUAUAUUUUCUGCAAAAUCUUUUCAAGAGUUUUAAACUAUAGAUAUUUAUUAAAUAUUGUAGUAAAAUAACUUUGAAAAAUUAUUGGAUUACUUAUUAUUAUUAUUUUAAUAUCAAUGAUUCUAUUUAUUAUAAGUAUGUUAAUAAACUUUGGAUUUAGUCAAAGCACUCAACUUUGAAUUUAUUAUUAUAUUUAUUCGAAGCACUCAAAUUUGAAUUUAGUCAGAGGAGAGUUAUGUAAGCCAUGUGAGAGAUAUAACCAGGAUAAUUUAUAGCAUAUUAUUUUUGUAUCUAAUAGUUCGAUGUCAUCAUCUAAUCAAACUAGCUUUUUAAAAUAAAAAUGAAAAAAAGUAUUUUAUAAAAAAAUUGGAACUUCGUUUUUCUUUAUAUAUAUAUAUUUUAUUUUAAUCUUGGAAGUACUAUAUAAAUUUAUUACAAUAACAUGAUACCAAAAAUAUCAUUUCAACUUCUAAGUAUACUUACUAGAGAUUAUCUAUGUAUUAAACAUUGAAAGAUGGUACUUCCAUUUUACGUCUUGACUUUUAUUUUCUAUGUUUUAAAAAUAGAAUAAAUUAUCAAAAUGUAUAUAAACUUGCUUGCCUUCAAAUCAAAUAUCUUAAUUUGACAAGUAUUCAUGAUUUCUCAUUAAUUAUUAAUCCAUAACAAGCUACAUAUAUUAAAGAUCAGAAGAUAUUUUUAAAAUAGUUAAAUCAUACAUGUGUGACGCUUGUAAAAAAAACUAGUAGUCAUUAAAUGUCCUAAGAUUUUUACUUGAUGUUCGACCCAUCAGAUCUGUGAUGGACAUCAUGUUGUUAUCUCUCGUGAAGUUCUUCACUUCGUAAUAAUCAGAAAGAUCUUUUUUUAUUACUGCUACAUAAUGCAGAGACCAUGGGAUUAUUUGUUCCUAAAUUCUUUAGGAUGUUAACUUCUUUUUUUCUUAAAACAGAAAAUUCUAGCUCCUAAGGUGGAAAGGAGGAGGAUGUAUGAGAGGUUAUUGGUAGAGAAUCAUAUAAAUUAUAUCUUGAGAACUUACUUAACAAUAUAAGUUUUUGGGUUAAGAUAGUUCUUUAACAUAAUAUUAGAGUCUUGUAGAUUAAGCGAUCAUGAGUUUAAAUCUCACCACCCUCAAUCUAUUUGAUAAACAUUAAGCACAAUGUACUAUAAGUCUAUGCAAGUUUCAAGCCCCAGGGGCUUUCAUUUGAAAGGAUGUGUUAGAGAAUUAUAUAAAUCAUAUCUUUGGACCUCACCUAACAGCUUAAGCUUUUGGGUUGAGAUGAUUAUUUGACAAUCAAGGUUGUUAAAAUCACGAGUUGACUCAUAAAAUCGUAUACUUAUCGUGCAAAAUCACAAAGAAAUGGGAAAUGAUAAAAUCAUACUAAAAUCAUGUAAAAUCAUGAAAAUUUGGUAAGAUUGUGAUUUUACUACCAAUCAUGAGCCCCACAAACGCUUGUAUCUAUGGAUUCUUUCUUCAAUCAAUAGUGCAAAGAUGAAAGAAACAUAGUUUUGCUUAAACCUUUCCUAACAAAUAAAAAAUUAUCUAUUAUAGGACAAAACUUUGAAAAUUCUUAUUCUAUAAGGAUUUUUUUUUACAAACAGGAGUGACAAACCAUAUUUUAAAAUUUGAUCCACCAUGUAUUUAUGCUUAAAUACCAUAGUUUUUUAAACAAGUUUACAUCAUUAUGAUUUCUCUAUAAAAAAUCUCAUAACUUGUCUAAGAUAUGAUUUAAUAAGGAACUAGACUUCAAGAUUAAAAAAAAUCAUACUUUGAAUUGUUUGAAUCAUUCAUUUUAGUUCAUACAAAACCUACAAUUCCUUAUUGAUUCACCUGUUGAGAUUCAUGGUGUGUAACAAAUAAUAUCUAAAACUUAUAAAAGUAUAACAAUAUCUAGAAGAAAGAAUAAUCAUAUCAAAAAGUGAUGUAUUAUUCAUCAAGGCAAAAAACAUCAGAUAAGCUAAAACAUUACAAAUGAUCAUGCAUUUAAAAGGAGCAAUGGAACUGGUGUUAGCCAACAUGAAAGCAUAGUUAUGAAAACAUACUUGUUUUCAAUGUUUUUUUCUUAACGUGAAGUUUUACCAACCACUCCUAACUUUUUUUUCUUGGAUCUUGCAUGGUGGGAUUUUGUCAUACAAGAACAAUUAUACCAUAUUUUUAUUGAUGGAAUUGCUUAUUUUUUGUAUUAACAAUGUAUGAAAAAAAAUUACUUAUGAUUUUAUGAUUUGUUUUUACAAUCCGAAUUUACAUUUUAUUUUUCAUAUCGUGUUAAAAGAGCGUUUUUAACAACCUUGGUUAUAACUGCAUAAUGCUAAUGAAAGAAAUAAAUUGAAAGGAUUCAUCUCUCUUUCAUUAUCACAUUUUCAAUCUUCCUAACAUAAAAGAGAAUGAAGUAAAACACACAAUUUUUGUUUUCCCCUGAGGUGGUUCUUUAAUGAAAGCACGUGAUGGAAUAUAAUUGUGCAUGACGGACAAUAGGUUGUGUGCAAUAAGAUUGACAAGUUUCUAUUACGAGAAUGAGAUUACCUAGAAUCUAACUCUUGACCCCUUAUGAUAUAGGGCGUAAAGGGCGUAAAUGUGUGCAUGGGUUGGGUUGAUUUAGACCAAAAUCGACAUCCAACCCAAAAUAACCAUUUUGUCCAAUAUGAAACAUGACCCUAUAUGAAAAGAUCAAACAAGUGGUUGCGAAAGAAAAGGGUUUGAUGAAGAAAAUUCAUGAUCCGUAGAAUCAAAAGCUUGCAGAUUAAUCAUCAAGCUACAUGAAAUUAAACUAAAAAAAGGCAUCUAUUAGAAACAAAAACCAAUUAUAUCUUAACUGUUAAUAAGACUAGAUUUUUUUUCAAGGUGAAUGAUUUGAUAGGUGGAAGGUUCUCUUUUUCCGAAAUAGUUUUUUUGUAAUCUUGAAUUCAUAGUGAUGGGUGAAUAAUUUAAGUGGUACAAGGUAGGAUUUUUUUAUGUGGUCACUAUCAAACACUUCUUUCGUAAGUGUAUGGAGCCUUUGUCACAUCAAUAUCUAUAAAGGAGCGAGAUAUGGUUUCUUAGUUAAAAUCUUCUCCUAAGUGUAGCUAAGUUUCUUAGAGCUAUCAAACAAUGAUUUUGACUUUAAUUAAUGCCAUGAUGAUCCAAUCCCUUAAACCCCUCUUUUCAUGGAAUAUAAGCACAUAAGAUUCCUCUUAGAAAUCUUCAUGAUUUGAAUGAAGGUUUUUUGAUUGAUCGUAUUACAUGAUAAACAUUUUAUAAGAUCUUUCUAAUGUACACAUCAUGUUGUUGGAUGAAAACAUAAGAAAGUGACAGCUUAAAACUAAUGAUUUUUCAUAAUACAAAAGAAUGACAAAUGUUUUUAUUGGUUAGGAUAACAUCUAUUUGUUCUUCGACCAAGCAAAGUUUUGCAACGAACUAAGAAAUCAAACCAAAAAAUCAUCUAUUUGUUCAUUGUCUUAUGCCAUCGAAUUGAUUAUUUUGAGGUGUUGUUUUACUCACCCUGAUACAUUGUCAUCUUGCUAGGUAUAAUUAAAUAUUAUAUUAUUUAUCUCAAGAUUUGAUUUUAGUUACCAAGACUCAUCUUGUUCUUAUACAAUACAGUACAACCAGUAUCCUCAAGCGUUACACGAGUCAUUUUAAAAAAAAGGCAACUUCAUCCAAAGAUGCUAAUCAUGCAGAGGUAUGCAAUGCUUCUGUCAUUUGGAUUAUUGGUAGUGCAAAUACCGUCAUAACAACAGAGAGAAUUAAGAAAAAGAAAAUAGAUUUAUGGCUUGAUUUUUUACAUAGCAUUAUUCUUUCCUCAUUUCUAAAUUUAUAUUCCUUGUAGUAUGGAACAACUGCUAAAUAUAUAUUUCCUAAGCAGGUAUAUUGUGGUAAACAUGCGAACUUGAAAUCACUUGCAGAGCUGCUACUAAUGGUUGAAAGGUUUCUCGUUCAAUUUCCAGCAUACUUACUUCAUGUGUUAACUUAAUUAAAAAUGCGUAACAUCUACUAACGUAUGUUCUGUCACAGGAACCUUGAAGGUCCAUAUGCUAUGGAGUUGACCUUGAGUGACCUCGUGGAACUAGAGAAACAACUGAAUGCUACUCUAACACAUGUCAGAGCUAGAAAGGUUAAUUGUCUCUCUUUUGUGAAUUCUUUUGUCCUUUGUCAUUUGAAAUCCGUAUUGUGAUGCAUCGGGAACCCUCUUAUUUCCACUGGACAAGUGUUAUAAAUAUUUUAGAUUGUGUUCCUCGAUACUUGCACCAUUUUAUACUUGACAAACUCUGCAUCAGGAUUUGAGCUUGGUUUAGGGCGUCUUCUUCCAUACCUAUGAUGCAGCAAAGAGAAGAGUUUUAAAGCAAAAUCUAACCUUCAUAUAACCAGAUUCUAUAAUACUGGAUCACGCAUUCCCAGAUAAGUGAACUAUCUCACUGUGACCUAAUUUUAAAACAUCCAGGGACCAACGAGAGAAACACUGACCAAUUAUCUAACUAUCCAAUAAUUAUUAAAAUUAGGAUAGAGAAUAAAUAUAGACGUUUAAUUUAUUUUAGGACAUGUGCUUACUCCAAAGUCAUUUUCAAAAUGCGUGGUCUAAGGUUCAUUUAUACCGAAGUCAUUGUGGACACGUUUGGGUUAGGAUCCCCUAACACUAAAGUCAUCGUACAGGUUGCCUGGUUUCAGGUACAUCACAAAGUUAGGCUUUUACUAUAUGAUGCUUAAAUAUCUUGGUACAAAGUUUGCAUUUCACCUUCUUCAAUGAAAUGUAUAGUUUAUAGUUCAUAGUUUACAAAAGUUCUAAUAUCAUUAGAACUAUGUAAUGUUUGACAAUAUUAUUAGUGCUAUGAAAUAUUAUGAGUCCAGUUGAUCACAUAAUCAUAUAAGUUCUUCUAAUAGCCUCACACAUUCCAACAACUUCUAGUAGAUCACAACAACAAACAACUUGUUUUUUGUUGCAGUAAACAAUAGGAGAUCUUUAAAUUGUUAAAGGGAUAAAAAAGCUUAACAAUCAGAAUUACAGUACAUGGGCAACAUGUAUGAUGUCGUACAAGCAAGGCUAGGAUCUAUAAGAGAUAGUCAAGGACGUGAAAACACAUGAACUUCCAGAAAUACUAAUGGAGUCCUUGAAGAAUAUAUGUUGAAGAAUAUUUGGGAUGCUACAAUGCCAAAAGAAGCAUGAGACACCAUUGCUAGUAUUUUGAUACUAUAUUUUAAUUUCUCGAGAAUGAGUUAUUGACACAAUAAGAUAUGAUGAUUCCUCAAUGCUUUAAUUAGGUGAAAUUGUGAGAUUUCUAAAUUAGACUUUGAAGCAACUAUUAGUGAAACAAGGAUGAAAAGAAUAAUCAUCCAUGGUUGGAAACCUAAAUAUCAGACUUUUGUUGCUACACUACAAGGAUGACCUACUCAACCAUCAAUAGUUAAGUUUAAAAAUCUGCAUGUUAGUCAAGAAAAUAUGGCUAAACAUAUGACGGGAGUCUCAUUGAAGGGUGAAGAGAAAUUACUCUACACAAACAAUGGCAGGAGUAAACAGUGGCUUACUCGUGAGGACAGAAUUCACAAUUGGCACAUUGGUGGUAAAUCUAAUAAGGAUGGUGAUAAAAAAGAAUUAUCGAAGGAAAGAAGGCUUUCAUAAAAAAAGGAGCUUUAAAGAAUUAUGAAAAUGAUAGAAGAAUUGAAGGCAACUGUUAUAAUUGUGGAAAGAGUGAUCACAUAAAGAAAUAUUAUUGGUUCAAAAGGCCUAUUAAAGAAAUUACCAUAAUUGUGGAAACAAUGUUAUUAUUUCAAGUUUAGAAAGGCAGGUUGAAGAUGAAUGGAAUGCUAAAGCAUCCUUUGUCAAAGAAGGGGAAGAAUUAGCAUUGACAAUGAUAAUUGACGAUUGAAUCAAUUAUGAAAGUGAUUGGAUCAUUGCUCCAGUGUUGUAAUCACAUGAAAGGUGAUAAACAAAAGUUACAGCAUCUAACAAAGUAAAAGAAGAAAAAAUUGUGUAGUGGUGAUAACUGACAACUCAAGAUUACCAAUCACUUAUAUUGGUAAGAUGAUAAACACGCUUCGCUAUAAAUCUGAUCAUGUACAUCUUCAAGAUGUUUAUCAUGUCUCAAGCACGAAGAAAAAAUUAUUGUCUAUAGUAUAAUUAACAUGAAUAGGCUAUUAUGUCUUGUUUGGUCUAUAUGAUGUUAAAAUAUAUCAGGAUUGUGAUUGUGAUCAAGAUUGCGACCGUAAUCUUGAUCAUGAUGGAGAACCAAAUCAACAACUAGAACUCUCUUCUAUUGAUCCUUGUAAAGAGAAGGUUUCAUUACAAGUUUAAAGCUCUAAAGGUAUUUUUCUUUCAUGCAAAGAAAAAGAAUGUGAACAAGAUGAAGUAUAGUCUAUUGCAACACCUAUAAGGUCAUCUCUAUGUAAUGAAGCUGCAUUACCAAAUCAUAUAUAAGGAAGUAACAAUGGUUCUUAUCCGAAUAAAGAAGAUAAUUCUGAAUGUCCAAUGUCUAUGGAGAGUUCUUUGGCUCGUUUUGAAAAAUAAAAACUUUUAUCAAAAGAUGAUGCUUGGGAAGGUGGGAAUUGUUCAAACAACCUAUAAUAGCAAAAGUUGGACGCAAAGCUGGACCAGUCAUCUACAAAGAUGGAUGUUAUUCCUCAAGUUGAAAAUUCUGUUCGGAAGUGUUAUCCUUCUCGAAGAAGAAUUUUUGCUCUUAGAGACUUUCAAUGCUCCAUUUCUUAAUAAGAAAGAAGUUGUUGUGUAAAAAAAGUGUUUGGGUCAAGAAAAGUCUAAAGAAAAUUUGAUAACUAAUGAUGCUAAGGGAAAAAGUUUUAAGAAAGCUUUAAGAGCUAUAUGGUGUCAUUGUUGCUUAAAAUGUAGAAUUGAAGAAUUUAGUUGAUAACAUUGAAGGCAAGCUAUAAGAAAUAGAAGACUUGCAACCCUAAAGUUACUCUCAGUUGGAAAAGCUAGGAAUCUAGUUAGAGGUUUGAAAGAAUAUAAUUGAUUAUUAUGACAGACACUAUCUUCAAUCCACUAUUUGUUGCUUGAUUGCUAGUUUGUUUUCUAUUCUAGAAUUUUAGAACAUUGAAGUGUAUUUUGUAUUCCUGGGCACAUCCCGUUCACCAGCACAACUAUACUAUCUCGUAAUAUCACUACAGUUCUUUUCAUCAUUUUUCUUUUUGUUUCAGAUACAAAUGAUGUUGGAAUCAGUGAAGUCCCUCCACGACCAGGUAUGAAAGUGCAUUUGGUUAUAACUGCUUUGAAAAUCAUUUUCUGCAAUAUAUAAACCCCCAUUUGCAAUCAAUGCAUGAAUGCUGCAUGGAGAGAGCAAGACAUGAUCUUAGGAUCCUCAUUUUUCUCUAGUAGCUCUUUUGACCAGAGAAGGUUUCUGAUACAAAAACUUCCAGGUUUGCUUAUCAUCAUACAAUCCAAGUAUGAGAAAACUUCCGAAACAUCUUAUUCAUAAUUAAGAAAACCUACCUGUUGUUUGCAUCCAACAUUUUAUAGCUGCUAAAAUGCUCAGAUCAUGUCAUGUCCAGGAGUCCUGGACCAGCAUAUAGCAUCCCUUUACUGCAUCAAUGAUAUCUGAAUUAAUUGUCAACGAUGAUCUUCCAAGGAUGCAAUCGGUCUAUUGAUCAUGCUUUAAUUGUCGUCUAAGAACUUUUGAUCAACCUCCUGCAUUAUGUUUCAAAUGGGCAUGCUAUCCUGAAGUUUAAUUAAAAAAAAAUCCAGAAUGCUUCUUAGCAAAAUAGUAGAAUAGAACGGUCCUAAGCAAUUAUGGCUAGUCAACCUUAAUGAGCUUUAGGUGAUAUUAUUGCAUUCCUAAUUUCUGGUUUUACUGUUGGAUAACUAGCACUAUUCAUUGUUGGGCAUAAUCAAUUCGUAAGUCUUUCCUACUGUCUGUUAAAAACUGUUUCCUAAGGAUGUCGAAGCUAAAAUUGACUUCAAAAGUAAGGCUUGCUUAUCGUACAAUCCAAGUAUGAGAAAACUUUCGACUAAAAACUAUUUUGCUGCAUACUUCGAAUCCUUGCACAUUAUUAUGAUCUCUAGAAGAAUAAUGCAUGAUAUACUGUGUGGUGAGAUGGUCAAGUUUGGGCCUAUGUCCCCCCUGUAUUGUCUGACCAUGGUCAAGUUUGGGCCUAUGCAUAGUCUCUAGUAACCGUUCAUUCUUAUUCGAGGAACAUCAUUAGGUAAAUCAAUGAAGUAAGAUAGUUACUAAAUUAAAUGUCACGAGGAAGGGAAAGCAGUAAUUUAUGAAUAGAAAGCAAGCCACAGACGAGAAAAAAAAUCGUGCGGGCUUUCUGCUCUUUCUUUGUUUUCUUUAGUGCUGUGUGCUCAAGUGCAGUUUGCCUGUGUGCCAUUCUACAUGAAUGAAGUGAUCUCAUAAUCAAAUGUCUUUAUUAUUUAUAUAUAUAUAUAUAUAGGAAAACUGAAUUAGGUAACUUUGAUUUUUAUAUGAAUGUCUUUUGCUCUCAACAGGAAAAGAUGGUUAAAGAAGAAAACCAGCUGCUAGAGAAACAGGUAAAGAGUGUUUAAUCCUGUUGCCAUUUGCUCUUUCAGCAAGUGCAUAUUGGAAUUUUACUUGCAACAUGUGGAAAGCUGGGUUAAUUGUAUUACGUGCAGAUUGUAGCAAUGAAGAACGGUAAAGACUCGGAUCACCCUAUGUAUCAUCCUCCACAGCAAACGACACUGAGUUUGCUUAAAUAGUGAGGCAGCACAUGCAGUGUGAUAACUUACCGCUGGAGGCGGCUAUAAUGGCAGGCAAUCUAGUUACCUCUUCGAUCUCACAUGCAUGCACUAGCCCAUUUUACCUUCAUUAUCUUCCUGCUGAAGUUGCAUUUCCACCGUUUCUGCUUCUCUUCUCUUUCUUAUUUGAGCUGAUGUUUAAGUAUCCUCCACCCUCCCAAGCAUUUUAACUCUGUUUCCAAACAUUUCCAUUUAUUCAAAAGCAUAUAUUUAUCAUUGACUGCAUUCUAUUAAGCCCCGAUACAUAGUGUUCCACUAUGACCUGUGUUAACGUUCAUUGUCAAUAAAUGAAUUUGAGGAACUUGCACUAGACGUUCAUUUGCAACAUGUGGGAAAUUGGAUUGUAAAGAUACAUAACAUUCAUAUAUGUGUGCUCGCGCGCUCGCCCAUGUGCAUGCAUGGUUUAUUUAACUCAAAUUCAUGGAAAUAUAUAUUUAAAAAUAACGAAGUACAUAUAAAUCCCGCGAUACGAAAAAUUCAUCCGGAUUAAUCUUGAAGGAGAAGUUCAAGGACAUCAAUUAUCCUUCCUAUUUCCUCCUGUCGCUAAUCCAUGCCAUCCAGUUGCCUGCAUCCAACCCAUUUACCUUUGUGAUUAUUUCAUAUUAUCAAUGUGAAAUUACAGGAUUUUUCAAAUUUCAGAUUCAGUGCAACUGUGCAGGGAAUUAUUAUUGUUUUAAUCUCAUAACUGUCGUGCAUGUCUAAUUUACAGAGAUUGAUUUUCUUCCUCCUCAACUCCCUUUGUGGAUCAUAUGCAGAGGAGUAGACGACAGAAUAAGAUGUAUGAAUCUCUCUCUAUUUGCUGCUAUACUAACAUUGCUUUGGGAGAGAAAAAAACAAUGCAUGACACAGUUGCUGCUAUACUAUCACUGAACUGUUUUAGCUGGACUUUACGUAGAGUCUAGAAAUCUCAUUAAAAAAAAUAGAAACAAAGCGUACCCAGUUAGUAGAUAUACAUCCAACUUCUAAGGUACUAAAUAUUGCAGUUUGCUGACAGUGUGUUUUUCAGGCUACCUACCUACACGUAUUCUUGACUAAUGAUACGUUCAUGGGGAGCAUAAAGAAAGCAGACGUCUUAACCUUUUAGUUAUUAUCAUGUCUGCUUUGAAUAGCAAAAUAAACAUGUUCGGGAGAGAGAGAGAGAGGAAGCUCAGAGUUUUUGGCAGUUUGAAUGCUUACUGAUUGUGGCAUUCCAUGCAUUUGCAAAGAACCAAAGCUAGUAGCUAUAUGGUAACAACGUUUUUUUGUGGCGUCUUGCUUGAUUCUUUGUGAAGAAAGGUAACCAAAGCAAGUAGCCAUACGGUAACAACUAAUUAGGCCAGAGUUUUGAUCUUGGCUAUUUAGGGUUGAACUGUAAGAGGAGACAGAUCGCUUGAUCACCGCACUAAUGCCUUGUGAGUUCUGAAGGCAAAUCUGUGACUCGACCGCUUACUUUUUACUUUAAAGAAGAAAUGUGGGCGCCCUAUACCACGCAGGCAGACUGGGCAGGUGGCCUUGUCUACCGCUUAGCUUUGUUCAGCCCUUUUGAACUGACCCGAGUGUCUCUCUUUCUAACUCGGCCCAAUCGCUUAUGGGCGGCGCGCAGAAGAAAUGCGGUGUUGCUACAGAUUUCUUUGAUCGCUUGAUACAUAUAGAAUAUAUACGAGGUAUUUUCUUGUCAUUUUAAUUUUUAAGUAUUUUUUAUUUAAAAAUAUAUUAAAAAAUUAUUUUUAAUAUCAACAUAUUAAAAAAAUCCAAAAACAAAAUAAAAAUAAUUUAAAUUUUCAAGAAAUAUUGUUUGGAAUACAGUCCCAUAUAAUUACUUCUACUCAAAUAUGAUUGAUUGCCAAUUAAGUUUGAUUAAUUUGUAGAAGAAUCAACAACAAAUCGUAACAUUGACAGUGGUAGAGAAACUGAUUUACUGCUAUAUACAUUGCCACUAAUUAAUUAAUAAAAUAGAUAGGUGGACAGGCAAUUUAUAUAUAUAUCGGAUUGGUUAGGAAGUCAUGGUUAUGAGUUAUGACACGAGGAAGGAAAAGGUCAGCAACCAAUAAUAUAAUACCACAAAUACAGUCUAUGCAACAGUUAUAAUUUUGUUGAGACAUCUUUGUCUCGAUUCAUGCCUAAGUCAUUUAUGCAGGUGCACGUGAUUUCGCAUGGAAGGAACAUUUUUCAUGUUUUUUGCUCGGCGACGAUGGUGACAGACGAGGACGUGUGUUGGCGGUCUACCACAGAAGUUUAAAAUAUUUUCAUCUUUAAGCUUAAAAAAACAUGCACAACAAAAUAUAAUAAUCUUUAAACAAUAAUCCUGGACUAUCAAUCAAAAAAUAUCUAAUUAUAUUCUCAAUGCAAUUACAACUUCCAUUUUUCAACUGGGGCAUACAAAUAAAACAUUGCUAUGUUAUUACCAUAUUAAUUGCUUAUAUUUAUUUUCUAAUUAAAGAAUAAAUAUAAAAUAAAUACUCUAGUUUUCUUAACACUCCAUCUGUUAAACACAAAACAAAUACAAGAGAGAAAUCAUUUCUUAAUUAGUUGUUCUUUGUACUUUUUAAUUGUGUAUAUUUUUGUUAUAUAUUUCACUUUAUUCCGAGAAUAUAUAUUUUGUUGAGUACAAGUCAAAGGAUUUGUUAUAAAAAGUACCAUAGAUAUUAAAUUAGAUGAAUAAAUAUUUAAGUAUUGAGUUCAACAAAUGGCCUGUGAUUUAAUGAUGGAGUGAUUGAUGCUAUUAUUUUUUAAGAUUAAUAAUUCAACUCUAAUAAUUGACAUAAAAUGCUAAAUACUUUAUAAAAAGUAAUGUUGAUAUUUUAAAUGAAAAAAAGGAUCAACUUUAUUAACUUGCAAAAUAAAAAGUUAAUAGGAGUGAAGGAGACAGCAACGAUAUUAGUGCUCACUUAUCAAAGCCGCAGUAAGUUGAGCAUACGAGAGACGGAGGCGUACGACACGUGGCAGAACGCAGACGAUUCGAAUUUGCGACCUUACAUUUCUCCUUUCUAAAAGAAUUGUAAAAAAAAAAAAAAAAACCUUGAAAAAACAAAUUAAAGUUUAUUCCACACACACAUAAAAUAUUCUAUAUAUAUUUUUGGUAGCAUUCCUUCAUCAUUAUUUAAUUUAAAUUAGGGUAAAAAUAAGGCGAGGUCGAAUUUUGGAUCGAGAAUGGGGAGAAAGAAAGUGGAGCUAAAGCGAAUCGAAAAGAAGAUCUGUCGACAAAUCACUUUCUCGAAGAGGCGAAAUGGACUGAUCAAGAAAGCACGCGACCUCUCUCUUCUCUGUGACGUCCAAGUCGCUCUCCUCGUCUUCUCCAGCAGUGGCAAGCUGUAUGAAUUCUCUAGCGCCGGCAGGUACUUACUUUUAUUUAUGUCUUUAUAGCUUGCCUUGUUUCACUUCUCUGCUAGCUUUCUGUCUCAAAAUUGAUCUUCAAUCUCUUAACCCGGAACGAACGCUUAGCAUGAGUUGAUGCUGCUACACUGCACUGUGCGCAUAAUAUUAUGACGAACAGUUUUCUUCAUAAAGUUCAUGUUUGUUUGAUAACUCAUUAUUGAAUCUUGGAUUUCAUGUACCUGAUUUCCUAUUUGAUCAGGUCUGUUUUUGUUUUUGCACAAAUUUUUUUAUUUCCUAUUUUAUUAGGUCUGUUUUUGUAUUUUCACAAAUAAUUUAUUUAUUUUUGUUAUUAUUUCUGGGGAUAUUUGGUGUUUAUCAUUACUUCUAUCUAGAACGAUCCUUAAUAAAAUAAUGAUUUCUGUAGGGGAUAGGUACUCUAAUCUUAGAUUUGUUUCUAUCUACGUUUUUUAUAAUUUAAUGUUUCUGAUUAUCAUCAUUAUUAUUUUUUUUUUGGUUGAUUUCAGUGUUGUCGUUGUUGUGAUAAGUACGAGUAUGUUCGAUAGUUUGACAUGACGAUUAACACAUUUAUACAAGGACGGUAGAGUAGUGUUUAUUUUCGGGGUAAUUGUUGUUGUUAAAAGUAUUUUUAUUUGAAAAUAUAUUUAAAUAAUAUUUUUUUUAUUUUUAAAAUUUUAUUUUUUAUAUUAGCAUAUUAAAAUAAUCUAAAAAUAUAAAAAAAAUUAAUUUUUUUAAAGCACUGUAUCACAAAAAACACAAACACAAUCUAUAUUUAUUUUCUCAAACAGCUCCUUGCUGAUUGCUGUCAUAGCUAGCAUGUAAUUUUAUCUUUUAUUUCUCUAGGAGGGUGUCGGUAAAUAUUUGGAAGUGUGUUGAAAUCAUGGUAGAGUGACUUUUAAAAAAAUGUGUCUUAAAAAAAGUUAAUAAUUUAAUAUUGUUUUAGUGUUUUUUCAAUAGUUUUCAUGUAUUUAUAUUAAAAAUAAAAUAAAAAAUAUAUUUUUUUAAAUAUAUUUUUUUUUUUAAAUAAAAAUACACUGCAUUACAAUACCAUAUAUAUCCUGCACGUGCAUUAUCAUCAUUGGAUGAUGGAUGUCUCUACCUUUGUUCAUAUGACAGAAUGACCACCCACACGUGUAUGCUACUUGUCUAGGAUGCUUUUAACUUGGUAUUCCUCCUCAUUUAGGUCUUAUACAGGUAAGUUAAGUUCUUCCUCGGCUAGGUCUUAUGUAGGUAAUUCAUACGAGAGAUUUCUUUGUAAUAGCUUCGUUUAGGAUUGAAUUCCGCAUGAUGACGUAAGGAAUAAACCCAUUUAGCAUUUAAAUUAAAAGACAAUGUCCAACUACAUGACAAAGUAGCCUUAGCGUCAGGUGUCUACAGUCUCGUGUUGUUGCCAAACUUGCUAGCUGGCCCUAGUACCAAGUGUUUGUUCCUGGCCUGCUGCCAGAUACGUCGGUUUGGCCCUAGUAUCCUAACUUGAAGCCAAACACCAGGUGUCUGCAGCUGUUUCGUGCAACCCCAUCAAAAUCCAAACUGACUAUUUUUCCCAAACUAAAACUAUAAUCCCGUCACCUACAGUUUUUGCAACUCUCUGUGUCAAAGGCAACCCUGUCAUUAUGGGGAAAACUCAUAGUGCUUUUAACAAAGAGCAAACCUAAACAGUGCAGUCCAUAGUGAAAACAUUUACGUACAGUCUACCGUACUUUGCGCUAUUGUACCGAACAGUGCAAUUCACAAUGAAAACACUCAUGUGGAACUCAAUCUAUAGUAAACACUAAUCCCUUUUAGUUAUAGUUAAUUAGCUAGUUGUCGAUUACAUUAUUGUGUUCUUUUUUCCCUUUUAGUUGCUUUAUUUUUAAAACGAGUUAUAUGAUAUUACCAUGAAGUUGCUUAUUUUUAAGAUUUUUUUAUAGCAUUUGGUUAUUGUCUAGUAACAAAAACAAUAUAAUAAUUAGAAUAGAAAGUACAUAUCUUGAUGUCCUCCAUGUUUUAAAAUAAUAAAAAUUCAUUUCAAAAUUUAUUUUCAUGUUUUUAUAUUUGUUUUUUUAUAUCUUGAGACAUUAAUUGUUCAUAUGGUAAACUAAUCAAACAAUAUCUUGAGAUACUAAUCAAACAAUAUCUUAUACUUCCCUUAAUUGUUCAUAUGGUAAACUAAGAAGAGAGAUAAAUUAAUGAGUAUAUAUGGAUGCAUGUUCAUAAAAGGAAUAUUAGGAUCUUCCACAAUUUGACAUCGCCUUCAAUAUGCAUGCAUAUAUUUACUCAAUUUAAUUAUUAAAUGAUGUGGACAAUAUUAUUUUUAUCUAAAUGAUGUGGAUACCGAAGUCUAAAGCUAACACAUUUUAACAAUCCUAUCAUUUAAAUAAACUUGAUGCUAAAACAUGUUUGUUUUUAUUUAUGUUUUAAAAGUGUUUUUAAAAAAAAAUUAAUUUUUUUAUAUUUUUUUACUUUAAAUUAAUUUUUUUUUCGUAUUUUUAGAUUAUUUUAAUAUGUUAAUAUUAAAAAUAAAUUUUCCCAAACAUCUCCUAAAAGCAGUUAACUAAAUUUUUUCACUAAAUGAUGUGUAAUAAGCUAACAUUACUCGAUUAAAAAAAUUCCUUGAUAACGUGUCUUCAGUUAACAGAAUUUAAUAAAUUACACUCAAGUAUAGCUAGCAUUACUCAUGCCAACACUGUGUCUAGCGUACUCCCUUCAAACAAAAAUAAUAGGAAAAGAAAAAAUUAACCCUAAACUACCAUGUCUGUCCCAAUUAGGUCUCCCACCUAUCAAUAUGAUCUACAAAUUAACAAUCUAUUAAAUAUGUACAUAAGGUCACUCUUUUUAAGCCAAAUUUAGGCCCAAAACAUGGGAUAAAAAAAUUAUUUUCAUUCUAAAAGCUCAUUUAUGUGACUUGAGGUAAAUUCUCAAAUGUAUAACUUUAUUAUCAAAAAAUUGUGGGGAAAAAAAAGAAAUAUUAAGAAUCCAAAUCUUGCACCAAAAUUGAAUGAAAGAUUAACCCAUUGUGCCUAUUUAACCUGUCCUUGACUAAGUGGGAGACUUAAUUAAGAUAAUCAAUGGGGGAGUGCGAGGUUUGCUUUUCCUUAUCAAACUCCUUUAAGUUAAAAAGAUCUCUUCAUUAAACUUAAGCAGGAGCAUUGUCCAUUGAUUAUUGGUCGUUCAACAAGGUAACCUAACCAUCUUUGAUUGCAUACUACCUAUAACAUGCCAUUAGUGAUAAGUUUAAUUAAUUAAUAAUUAUUCCUGAGUCUUAGAAAGUGUCAUUUCCUUGCAAAAAGUAUCUUUGAUUCCUUUUUUAAUAUAUAAUAAUCAAGGAAUUUUAUAAAUAAAUCUAGCUCUAUUAAGGUGAUAGCAUUAUCAAAACAAAGAAACAAGGUCGUUAUGUACAAUGAGGAAAAGAAACAAGGAAAAGAAAAAAACCAACCAUACUUCAGAAGUCAAUUUUUUUUUAUCUAUAUGACAUGAAGAUAUUGGCUAGUAGUCCGUUUCAGAAUACCUUAUGGCCCUCUGAACAAGUCCAUUCAUGUGUACUUGAAGUUACCAUUAAUAGUCUUGAGCCACAAAGCUAGACGAUGAAAAAUUAACUCAAAAACUAUAUUCCAAUAUGGUAUCUCGUCAUGAAAAACCAAUCAAAUUAAUUCCCCACAAAAUUCCAUAGGCCAAUAUGAGGAUUGUUUGAUGUUGAAACCUUUAUUUUACAAGUACACUCCUUUCUAGCAAGACUACUUCUAUGGUCCUUGUCAUUCACUGCUCUAAGCCUAACCAAUUCAUAAAACGGUUCCAAACUUAUUCCAUUAGCCAGUAAAAUCUUGUCCCUUUACAGCGAUUAUUUUUGGGUAUUAAUUUUUAACUAUGAUCUCGAUCCAUCUUUCAAUCUGCAGUGAUGAGUUUUUUUAUCCUUAACAUCUAAUAUCAAUACUUUAAUUAUAGAUAUUUAUUUUUGUUGAGGCAAGUGUAAAAUUAGGAAUCGCGCAAAUAUUGUUAUUUAACACGUGAUCCAAAUUCUUUUUUUUUUGUUUUUGUAUUUUUUGUGCACUAAGAAAUGAACAUUGUGUGAGGUUUGUAAGUGAGUCUGUUGGCUGAUCUUACUCCGACAGAAGAAGUCUCCUCUUUAGUUUUUGGUGCGGCCUUUUCAAAGCAUAUUUAAGUUUUAUGGUGUGGUUUCUUUAAGAAGAAUUUUGCAGGUCGUAAACAGACAUUUUUUUUUUGGCUGCUGAGACAGACAGCUAUAUUUCUUGUUCUUUCUGUAAUAGUUAUCUAGACCAUUUUGGGUGUUUUGUGGUGUUUAUUUAGUUGUUUUUAAGCAGCUCCUUAACCAAGAUUUUUUGGAGAAUCGCAUGUUGCGUAGUUCACAUCUCAUAUCUCAUAUAUAGUUUUGUUCAAAGACUUUUGGGUUUAUGUAGGGCUUGUGUCUAUAAAUGUGCGAGAUAUAUUCUAAGAGGUUUAUUGAAGAUUGCAUUCAUUUUCUACCAUAUGAUAUAGACAAUGUUGAACAACGCUGAUUUGCGUGUGCUCCUUUUUUUUGUAUUUUGUGGAUUUUCAUUCUAAUCCCAUCAAUUCUACUAUUCAGUUUGGCCAAAAUCCUGAAACGUCAUCGGAGUUAUUUCGAAGAGAAAACUGCAUUGUCUAAUGGUGCUAAUGAUGCGGAGGUAAGCAAUUACUUUUGUCUGGCUAAAACAUGUAGAGAAUAAUGUUUUAACAAUGGAAAAGCUGAUAAAAAAAAAAGUACACUGUAGCUCAUUCUUUUCAUAUCGUAAUCUUCUUUCGUAUUUGCUUAGUUUUUAUCGUGUAAUUCGAAACUAGGUAUGACUUUGCACAUUUCCUAUUUCAUCUGCAGCUAUAUCACGGUAAAUAUGAAAAAAAAAUCAAGUCGUUUGCAGAGCUGUUGCAAACAGUACAAAGGUAACUUGUACAGCUUCCCGUAUACCUAUGCUAAAUGUUAUGGAUAUCAACGCAUGCUAUCUAUUCAGAUACGUAUAUAUAUAGUAUCCACAGGCAAGUUGGGGAUUCAAACUUCGAGGAGCUGACCUUAAGCGACCUAGAACAAACGGAGAUGCAAGUUGAUGCUGCACUGAGACGUACGAGAGCUAGAAAGGUCAUUCGUGUCUCUGUCUUUUUUCUUUGAAGAGCCAUUAUAUGGUGCAUCAUGGACCAAAUUGCUCCACUCGACAAAUAUUUGAUGCCGCCAAGUGCAUUAAUAGUGGCACCAUUUCAUUUUAACAUGCUCUGCGUGUGAUGAUUUGAUCUUGGCUUAGUAUCCAUUACAAAAUGGAGCACGUCCCAUAUAAUAAUACUUUAUGGAUAUUGCUAGGUUUACAGUCUCACAUCAAUAUCUUGAUCUAGACUUGAAAAUUAGAUACCCUUGUUUUGAGCUACCUUGAUUGUCCCUCCAGCAUAAUUCUCAAAAGAAAAAAAAAAUAAACAAAAGAAACAUUCCUCCAACAUAACUUGCCGAGGGUUUGAUAUCUUGAUAUAUAUAAAAAUGCUUUGCACCUUCUUUUAUUGACACUUUGGAGCUAUUAUGCCGUGCAUUUCUUGCAUAGACAACCUAACUCCAAGUAAACUUGGAAAAGAUCUCAGCAACAUGUCUGCGUCUCUUCAUUUAAGCACCUUCUUGGCUAUUGAUCAAUAAUUCCACUAACUGGCACACUUCACAGGCCCAUGGUAGUCAAGUACUUGCUUGUGAUUUGUGUAUUAGCAACACGAAAUCGAGGUUGGUUUUCAAUGCUGCUAGAUACCAAACAAUUCCAUGUUUGGCUACACAUGUGGACUUCAGUCCGAGAUUCGCAUUGGACGUGUGGCUGUAAUGGUUUGCAUUUAGCUGGAGGGGUAGUCAGGAUGCCCACUUGCUGAAAGAAAAAUAAAUAAAUAAAUAAAAAGCCUGUAUUCCAAGACAGUCCUGAACUUGUUAGUGUGGUCUCAUAAUUAGCUGACUUAAGAGGAAGAACUAGAUGCUUAGCCUUGAUGAGCAACUUAUCUAUUUCAUGAUUACCUUUAGUUAUCAUUGGGGUUUUCUCCUUCAAGGUCUUUAGGUGGCAAAUAUUCAUUUGAACAUAAGAAAGUUGCCAUCGCUCUAUGCUUUUUGAACUUUCACUCUGCAUUUUGUAAUCUCAUUUGAUUUGUGUUUGUUUCAGACGGAACUGAUGUUGGAAACAAUUAAUGCCCUCAAUGACAAGGUAUGGAGCUUAUUUCAUUAUCAAACAUUACUUUGCAACUAUCAAUAUUCUGUCAUCCAUCACUCUAUUCAAGUUUCGAGGAAAAAGAAAAGGAAAAGAAAAGUUGAUCUUUAUCAAGAUCUUUAUGAAAUUAUUCCAAUAGUUCCCCUAGACUAUAUAUAUAUACCCUUUUUAUAUGAUCAAGCUUCGAUGCUUAUUUACUAGCUAGAUUUAAAAAAAUUUCCACCCUAGUUUGUAAAAACACGGGAUUGUAAUCACUGGAUUACAACUAGUCAACCUGCAUAUAUACAGCUGGCUGCUUGAACGGUUAGAAAGGAACGGCUGGUUUGUCCAUCACAUGCCGCAGACUUUAUUCUAAUAGUUCCACACUAGCAGCAUCCAUGCUUUCACUAUCGUUCCUUUAAAAUCUGCGUUUUCAUUUGCAACCAAUGCAUGGAUGCUUCUUUGAGAACCAGACCUCUUCACUUCAGAUGCUCAAUUUUGCUCUAGCAGGUCUUUAGGCCUUAACAGGAUGGUGUAAAGAUGAUCCUCGAUACAACUUCCAGGUUUUAUAUUCAUCCAAACACCUUGACUGGGCAAACACUUGCAUGAUCUUUAAUGCUUUUGAAAAAGCUAGCUGCUAGCCGAGAAAACCUAUUGCCCUGCACAUCCUACCGGCUAAUCUCUAGCAUGCAAAAAUACUCACAUAGAUGAUAAGAUGAGGAUUUGAAAAAACAUAUAUAUUAGCAAGAAUGGUGCGACUUGGAACUUCAUGCAAAUCUCUUAAAAGCUGCUACAUUCAGAUGUCUCAAUCAAUUGAUGAUGUUCCAAGCCUGCAUCUAAUAUUUGUUUGUAUAUGCUGUAAUUGUCAUCUAAAAAAGUUUGCUCUGCCUCUUGCGGUAUGUUGCAAGAUGGCAUGCUACCCAGUAAAGAACUCAGAAAUGAAACCUGGAAUGCUUCUAAACAGACAUCGGAGAACUAUAUAUAUAUCUCGUCCAAUCAUCUGUUUCACUUCCAACGAAUGUCUAGGAUAAUAUUAUGUGCGAGAUAAUCUUGUUUGGGCCUUUGUUGUCUCUAAAUUAUCACAUCUUAAAAGGCUGGGUCGAGCUACUGUGCUUUUCUUACGCCCUUCUCCUCAGGAAGGGUAUCGGAUAAAUCAGAAGUAAAACUCGAACGAGGGCAGGUAAUUAACUAAUAUCAUGAAGAACUGGAACAAUAAAUUAUACAUUUGAAGUAGAUAUGAAUGUCAUUAGGACUCUGUUAUCUGACUGCAUUUUUGUGUUGGUAGAAACAUGUGCUGCUUGCUCGCACAGUAUUUCUCUUCCAGCAUGUCUUUGUACGCCUGUUUGUGCAUGGGUGUAAUGCACACGUGUCAUUCAACAUGAAUAGCUGUGUUAGAAUUAGGGGUGGUGUCGGUGCCGCAUUCCAUUUUUACGGAGAGAAAUAUAUAUAAACGAGUUAGCUAGCUAGGGUGAGAAUGUAUAAGGCCAUUACACAUCACGUGGACUGCUAAUCUCUCCAUCCAUAAUUAGAUGUUGAUUUUGCUAAAACAUAACUUUUGCUCUCAACAGGAAAAGACACUAAGGGAGGAAAAUCAACGUCUACAGACGCAGGUGAGCAUAAGAAUGAAUAAUCUUAGGAUGUCACCGUACGUGUUAAGCACAUUCUUCAAGUUUUUUUACAAGGCAAACUGGAUGUUGUCGACAUGACUAUCUUACAUGUAGGUUGUAGCCAUGAACAAUGACAAUGAGACUAAUGGCAUGAUGUCUGGAUCUUUUGAACCACUAUUUGGUUUGCUUAAACAGUAGGUUUGAAGGCCGCACUGCAUACAAAGUUAAACUUGAUGCUGGAAGUGGUCGGAAUGGCAGAAAAUCUGGCAAUCGCCUGCAUGAUCUUAAAUGCACAUGCGUUAGCAAAAGAUAUGUACCUUCAUUAUAUUGUUCUUGUAUUUCCAUUGCAGCUUCUCUCUUCAGGGAAAUGUUGAGUGAGUGUGUAAAGUUUCCUCCUCACCUCCGAAGUCUCUCAGACGCUUAUCACCACUGUGUCUCCUAUCAUAUAUAGGGGUACUCUUCAUUU